UAUAUUCUUAUGAAUUUAUAACUAUGUGUGCUAGCUAGUAGCAUAAAUUUAACGAAAAAAGCUUAGUUUAACAACCGAAUUUUUGAUCCCGUAUUUUUAAUUGGUGAACAUAUAAUUUUUAUAUAAAUCGUAUAUCCGAAUAAUUAGCGAGCCCAUUUUUAAAUCGUAUUUUUCAACGAAUUUAAAAAUCAUGAUACAAAUUUCAUUCGAAUUAUUGAGAAAAUUACUUACUAAUUUAAAAAAUAUAGAGUUUUAAGUUGUGCUAUUGAUAUAAAAACUGUAUCAUAUCGAUAUCUUAUUGAUACAGUACGAUUCUGUGAAUACGAUCUGUACCGAUAAAUACAUAAAUUCUUGCUUUCAGUACUAUUCUAAGUACUACU
Molecule: long non-coding RNA, 380 nt
Filed under: Ananas comosus (pineapple)
Lineage: Eukaryota; Viridiplantae; Streptophyta; Magnoliopsida; Poales; Bromeliaceae
Description: long non-coding RNA (ACOM_LNC001272)
Source: RNAcentral